Molecule: ribosomal RNA, 253 nt
Filed under: uncultured bacterium
Lineage: Bacteria
Description: partial 16S ribosomal RNA
Rfam family: Bacterial small subunit ribosomal RNA
Source: RNAcentral
UACAGAGGGGGCAAGCGUUGUUCGGAAUUACUGGGCGUAAAGCGUGCGCAGGCGGUUCGUUGUGUCGGUGGUGAAAGCCCCGGGCUUAACCUGGGAAUGGCCAUGGAAACUGGCGAACUGGAGUGUGGCAGAGGGGGGUGGAAUUCCGCGUGUAGCAGUGAAAUGCGUAGAGAUGCGGAGGAACACCGAUGGCGAAGGCAGCCCCCUGGGCUAACACUGACGCUCAUGCACGAAAGCGUGGGGAGCAAACAGG